GACAGAGGUCCCGAGCGUUAGGCGGAAUCACUGGGCUUAAAGCGUGUGUAGGCGGACUUCUAAGUACCUUGUGAAAUCCCACAGCUUAACUGUGGAACUGCUCGGUAUACUGCCAGUCUUGAGCCAGCUAGGGGCUACCGGAACAAAUGGUGGAGCGGUGAAAUGCGUAGAUAUCAUUUGGAACGCCAAUGGUGAAAACAGGUAGCUGGGGCUGUGCUGACGCUGAGACACGAAAGCCAGGGGAGCAAACGGG
This 253-nucleotide ribosomal RNA is filed under the name uncultured bacterium. RNAcentral's name for it is "partial 16S ribosomal RNA". It matches the Rfam family "Bacterial small subunit ribosomal RNA", at positions 524 to 776 of the family's 1533-position model. The record is from RNAcentral.